GAGCAUGUAGACCACUACGACGGCAAUACAAUGGUGGUGCUUAAGAAAACAGGAAUACAUCAUUUCAUAAGUGGAAAAAAGCGUCAUUGCAGGUUGGGUUUAAAGCUAGCUGUUGUUGUUAUGGUAGCUCCCGUACUUUCUUCCCCUCCUCCGCCGCCUUCACCACCCACGCCUCGGUCAUCAACUCCAAUUCCUCAUCCUCCGAGACGUUCACUGCCUUCACCUCCUUCACCGUCACCAUCACCUUCACCAUCACCAUCACCAUCACCAUCACCUCGGUCAACUCCAAUUCCUCAUCCUCGGAAACGUUCACCAGCUUCACCAUCACCAUCACCAUCACUGUCAAAGUCGCCUUCACCCUCCGAGUCACCAUCACUGGCACCGUCACCUUCAGAUUCAGUAG
Molecule: long non-coding RNA, 403 nt
Filed under: Medicago truncatula (barrel medic)
Lineage: Eukaryota; Viridiplantae; Streptophyta; Magnoliopsida; Fabales; Fabaceae
Description: long non-coding RNA (MTRU_LNC002634)
Source: RNAcentral